Belonocnema kinseyi is the source of this 223-nucleotide long non-coding RNA. RefSeq lists it as uncharacterized. Lineage: Eukaryota; Metazoa; Arthropoda; Insecta; Hymenoptera; Cynipidae. The transcript is spliced from 2 exons. The record is from RefSeq and is a predicted model, not a curated record.
CUAAUUCAAUCUGAUGGUAUAGUGAAGUAGCAAAAAAAUAUCUCGAGUUGGAUGUUGUCCUAUAUUUAUUAUCGUAAUCACCUGUGAAGGAAAAAACGCGUGACAAUUUUCGACAAGAACGCUUUUCUCGUGCGAUGCAGUGGAACACCAUCAUAUUGAUAAUAUAGUUUUACCUAUAAAAAUUGUAAAAAAAUUUUCUAUGAAUAAAGAAGUUUGAUUUAAA